Poecile atricapillus (Black-capped chickadee) is the source of this 1211-nucleotide long non-coding RNA. RefSeq lists it as uncharacterized. The record is from RefSeq and is a predicted model, not a curated record. The transcript is spliced from 5 exons. Lineage: Eukaryota; Metazoa; Chordata; Aves; Passeriformes; Paridae.
CCUUUCCAAAACGCUGCUCAUGCAGUGUUCACAGCCUGCUUAGGCUCUGAUGGCUGGGUGUUUAAUCAGUCCCACUCUUUGCCCCCGACCUUUUUUUCUUGUUUGGAGUCAGUCCCGCGUUUCCCCUCGGUGUAGGACCCCACAAGUUUUCGGGCAGCCGGUCAGUGGCUGCCACGGGGAUCCGCCGGAACGAGGCUGCCCUGAGCUCUUGGCUCUUCCCCUCGCCCAUCCCGGCCGAGGACAGGAGGGACAGGUCGGUGUAUGAAACUGCUGGUCCUCAACUCGCUAAUCCAUGACAGGCCAGUCAACGCUUCUCUGCCCGGUCCCCAGCCGACAGGCUGCUGGCUGUCCCCAGCCCUGCCGCUGAGCGUGUAGGUGAUCACCUCUAGAAGGGGUUAGGGCUGUCCCGGCGCAAGCACCGCAGCACCCCCCUCCCGUGCCUGCCAUCGGGCUGUGAACUUUCCGGUGGGCCUAGGAUCUCCUGCCCCCUCAGCAAGCCUGGAUCCCUAAGAUCAAUGAGGUUUCCAGACUUCCUCCCUCUUUUUGCCCUUCACGAGAGCGCUUUGCUGGGUGCGCAAGUGUGCGUGUGAGGAGCGGAGAAGAGCGCCGAGAGGCUGCUGUUUCGAACACAGUUUCAAAGACGAAGGCGAGAAGGCUGUGCGUGGGGUGUAGAGAAGAGGGUGAUCCGGAGACUCUUCCCGGCCCACGGCCCCCUUGCUCAGAGAUCUCCUCUUGGGUUGCAGAAACCGGCGUAAUGUUGUCCCGGUGCCCGCGUCAGGUCACACAAAGGAGAUUGGGACAAUAGCUGGAGUGGAUUAUUCAUUCCCGUAGGCAAUACUUCCCUGUAUGGGCUUCAGGAUGCAGUUGGAAGCUUGGGAACAAAGCGGGCGUCGAAUGUCAAGGCUUCUUUUGAGGAAGAAGUAGCUCUGCUGGGACCCCAUGCCUGGACUUUGGAGGGCAUGGCGCAGUGGUCUGAUAUGAAAGCACUAUCCCUGCAGAUGGAAACUCUCCUCUGUAUCCUGCGCCUUGCAAGACAGGCAGCGAGGGGACAUUGAAGUAACCAAGUAUCUGGCAUCAAGCCUGACAAUCCACUUCACACUAUGUGAAGGAAAGUUUGUUCCAAACCACAUACUUUCUGGUGCUCAGUACUGGUGUCAAACUGGUUUGAACUGUCCCAAGUCUAAAAUAAAGAUCUCCAUUGUGGUAUGCCA